Molecule: microRNA, 21 nt
Filed under: Danio rerio (zebrafish)
Lineage: Eukaryota; Metazoa; Chordata; Actinopteri; Cypriniformes; Danionidae
Description: Dre-Mir-217-v2_3p* (star (passenger))
Source: RNAcentral
AUCAGUUCCUGAUGCACUCCC